Molecule: long non-coding RNA, 350 nt
Organism: Mustela erminea (ermine)
Lineage: Eukaryota; Metazoa; Chordata; Mammalia; Carnivora; Mustelidae
Exons: 3
Source: RefSeq, a predicted model, not a curated record
UCCUGGUCUAAGUGAAUGAGACCGAAGUGGCACUUCGGAACAGUGCUUUGGAAGUUGGAGAAACUGGUGCUCCAUGCAUUCUUUAUGUGUGUGAUAGGAAUUGCCUAAAUUUCAACUGCAAGAAGUAAUGCUAAGGUUACCCAGUCAUAUCUACCCAGACCUCAUUUACUUCGAUUUCUUGCAGAACUGCUGCCACUGAACUCAUCUGGAUUUCACCAAAGUAAAAUGACUGAUCAUUUCCUAGUAGAUACAUCUCUCUAGAAAUUCUCAGAGAAUUUUUGCAAUAUGAAUAUGGUUAAAAGGCUUUUUGCAUACAGCACUGCGAAAAAUGGAGGAAAAGGAUUUGUCAG